CACUCAGCCCGCUGCCCGAGCGGAAACGCCACUGACCGCACGGGGAUUCCCAGCGCCGGCGCCAGGGGCACCCGGGACACGCCCCCUCCCGCCGCGCCAUUGGCCUCUCCGCCCACCGCCCGGCAUCCAUUGGCCAGCUCGCCGCCAAUCAGCGGAAGCUGCCUGGGCCGCCUAAAGAAGAGGCUGUGCUCUGGGGCUCCGGCUCCUCAGAGAGCCUCGGCUAGGGAAUGGAAAUGUACUACCACACAUUGGACCAGUUCUUUCUCAGGCUGAUAACAUUACAGAAUCCCGUUUGAAAUCAAGCUGGACUGGUGGAAAUCAGAUUCCCAUAUCCUCUCAUAAGCUGUUUGUCGAGGUAAAUCCCCUACAUUUUAAAAACACGACUUCCCAGGGCUAGAUGGGAAAAUAAGAGGCUUUGGACCUAUCAACAGAACCAAUUAUACAGAUGUCUUCAUUUCCUCAAAUGGUCACGUAUGUGGGAAGAUCUCUCUCCUCCUUCCUGCUAGUCUUUCAGAUUCAAAUCAGGCGUUUCAUGAAUCUGCAGGCCGGUGGCAGGGUUGCUUGGGCUAAGGACAAAACAGUAUUGAUGCAGUUCUCAGCACAGCCUUGUUUAUGUUUUGAUUAAGCUAAUAGGAAGCUCCGACCUCUUAGCCCUGCUAAUGUUUGAUAGAGUCCUGUUAUACAUUCUUAGAACAUAUAUUCCUGCAUAUAUUCUUCUGUCACAUAAGACCAGUGUUUUAAAAACUGAGAGUUGGGAGGAGAAAGGGCGAGUCUGUGAACCUCCUGUCACCUUUCCUCAAAAUUGCUUUCAGCCACUCUGUUUUUCUUUCCUUCUUUCAAACUCAUGAUCAUCUUAUAGGCAAUAAUCUACCAACCUUCUUUACUAGUCAACCAACUUAAUAAACCAACCUAGACUCAGGGUAGGGAGAUUUUGAGGCAUUCAGACCAUUGAUUCUCAAACCUGCUAAUUUAUUGGCACAAAAGACCCCACAAUACACCUAACCCAUCCGUUCCAUUUCUCGUGUGAAAAGAAUUUGAUGAUAACAAAGAAUUAGAGAGGAACAAAAUAGGAACUCAAAACGGCAACAUCAUAAUGUUUAUGCAUCAACAAAAUGAUCCAAAACAGAAAAACAACAAUAUUUGACAUGUGAAAUAACACAUACAAGAAGGACUGUAUUUGAAACUCAAGACAUUAUGAAGUCCUUCCACCUUCCCCCCGAACAAGCAUUCUUCUUGAAAAUUGUAGAAAUUCCAACAGUCUACGUUGUCACAUGUGCAGCAGAAAAUGUGCAUCAAGCCUUCAGUGACAGCCAAAAUUUUCAGUAAUUGGCAGUACUGCACUUUUUUUGGUGAAUAUAAAAUUUUAAUCACUCUUAAUAAUUAACGAAGGAAGCUAUGAAGUAGCUUGUCAUAUGUAAAAAUGAAAGUCCCUGGCCUUGCAUGGCAUUUGCUCUAAGAGUUGAAGAAAGAACUUGCAUAUUUUGAUCUCUUUGUGGUUCAACAGGAAGACGCUAGCGGUCACAGCUAUACUUGGAAACGUGCUGGCCUAAAUGACUGACUUCUGAGCCUUCUCUGGUCUUGUGUUCUUGAACCUUGUAACUUUCUUCCAAGGCUUUGAGUAACAAUCUGAUUUCUACAUUAAAAUGAUCACUCUACUGGCGGAAGUAUAAUAAAUGAAUAAAACCUUUCUGGGGAGUAUUUGGUUAACAGGUUCAAAGUCUUAAAAAUAUGCAUCCUUAGUGACCCGGCAAUUCCACUCCUAAAGAAAUAAUUGUGAAUAUGAACAAAGAUGCAUGUACAAAGAUGUUUAUUAUAGCAUAUUUUAAAAUACUUUUUCUAUUAGGAAAUUGUUCACAGCACUAAUUUUAAAAUGUAGGGCAUAUAAAGUAUGUAUAAUAUAAUCAUUUUCAUCCAAAGAUGUAUGUCUAUUCAUAGAAAAUGGCUGGAAGUAUAUAUAAUACAAUGUUAAUAGUGAUUAUCUUUUUGUACUAUUACAGACUUUUCUCAAAUGUCUACAAUAAACAUGUAUUACUUCUAUAAUAAGAAAAGAGAUUUAAAUAUACUUGAAACGAAAAAGAUCACUUUGGCAGCAGUGGUUAGAAGAAUAUGAAUAAAGGAGAUUGGAUGGGAGGUUACUGCAAUGGUUUAGGGAAAAGACAAUGCAAGAAAGAACCAAGGAUAUGGCAGUGUGGCUAGAGAAGGAAAAGCUGAUUGAAGACAUAUUCAGUAGUUCUAUGAGAAUUAUAAACACACACCACACAUUCAAGUCAAUAAUAAAACUGAUCUUUUAAAAGAGCCAGCAUGAUUCAUCCAUAUCCUUAUUGUACCUUCAAAUAAUGCAUUUAAAUAAACUCAGAGCCAACUCUGAUGAUAAGGCUUUGGUUUUUUAGCUUGUUUAGCUAAGUUAAUGGAGGUCCAGCUGACCAAGAAAGAGAAUAUAAGAGGAGGAUCGGAUUGUGGAGUGAGAGAACCAGUUCAAUUUUGGACACUUGGAGUUUGAGGGGUUUGUGGGAGGUGUACCAAGUUGUGGGACAUGAGUCUGAAGCUCAGAUCUGGUCAGUAGAGACAGAACUAGAGAUCAUCAGUAUAUGAGUGAUUCUUAAAACUGGGUGUUGCCUGGAGAGUGUACAGUGAGAAAAGGGCUGAGCAGAAAACCUGAGGAACAGCAGUAAUUCAAGACAGGAUGAGGAAGUAGGUCACUGAGAAUAUUGAGGAGUGGUGAGCUGGGCCAGCCCAUAAUGGGCUAAUCCAGGUUCAAAGCCUGGCGAGAAUGACCAGUUGGGCAAGUUUAAGGUUGCUUUCAUCUAAGCUUACUACCAAAUCUGCAAGCAAGCAUUGCAACAGACACAGGAAAUGAGAAUGUAAGUGAGGAGUAGACUGGAGUUUCGUCUGCUCCCCACGGAGUCGUGACCUAAGUUCAGGGUUGGCACAGUCCCUCUCAAGUCUGAUCUGCCGCUCACUGCUCUUCAUGCUGGGGAAGAGGGCUGGCAGCCCUCAAGGGUUUAGGUGCUACCUCUGAAGGCAAUUGCUUGCCAUGCCGUAGGCACAUCCUCGUGUGUUCUCUCUUCUUCCUGCCUCUGCACCUGCACUAGGCUCGGCCAUGGCAUACCAAAAGUGGCCAGAGGGGUUCAGAGGGAAAAGCAAGUUAAGGGAGGAGAGAAUUUCAAGGGAGGAAUUGUCAACAAUAUCAGAUGCCAGAGAGGUCAAGUAAUAUAAGUGCUGAAAAGUUCCCACUAUGUUUGGCAAUUUAGAGGCUAUUUGCCACCAAACACAUAGGGUACCACGAAACUCAGGUUCCCAUGAAAGUCAUUUUCAUUCUCACAAAACUUAAUCAAAAUAUUUAUUUUAGCUAUGAUAUUUUGUUAUGGCAGCCUGCGCUGACUAAGACAUCCACCCUGCCAGACUCCUUCAUUCAUGGUGAUUUUCUCUUAGUGGCGCUAUUGUCUCAUCUAACAUUCUGACCUUUUUUAAGGAACUCCCUGUCCAUCAUACAGGACUGUAGUAUAUCACAAGUGUGGGCUGUGUUCAACAUCUCCUCCAUGGGGCUCUUGUGUCCCACGCACAUCACGGAAUGUGGCUUGGUACCAGUUUCAUCGUCCCCAAACCUUCCCAAAAGACCGAGAACUCUGCAAGGAUGCGACGCCAUGCACCCCGCUCCUGCACACCCCCAGGGCCUACCGCAGGGCUUGGCACACAGCAGGCAGGUGGGACGCCUGCUACAGCAUGGCCUGAUAAGCGGUGCAUAGGUCCACUCCUGGGAUCCGAACCAGCGAACCCCAGGCUGCCGAAGCAGAGUGCAUGAACUUAACCACUACGCCACUGGGCCGGCCUCAAUGUAUUACGACCUUUUUAUGAGCCACGCUCUGCUGGCACAUGAAUCGGGUAUGGGAUCUGUCCUUAAAAGACUCAGGGUCUAGCUGGGGAGACAGACAGGGCCACAAAGCUGGCAAAGUCUGGGAAGCCCCUCCACAGAGACAAGAGCUGGGUGCUCUGAGGAGCACAGGGGCAGACACCGCACCAACGGGGAAGAUCUGAGAAGGCUUCGCAGAGGACGUGGCAGUUUUCCAGGCACACAAAGCCGGCGAAGGACAUUCCAGGCAGAAGGAAUGGAAUGUACAAAGAUGGGAAAAAUGAUGCACAGAGAGGUUGGGUAACUUGCCAAGUCACACAGUUCGUGAAGAAUGUUCUGGCAGCAUUGUGGAGGUGGAUUGAAGAGGCAAGACUGAAGACUUGAAGAUGAAUUAUGAAGUCAUAACAGCUUCGAUAAUUUUGGUUGAGUUGGUCACUCAGUUUCUCUCUUUUGUUACUGUGGAAAGACCAGAGUAAUUGUGUUUUAAUAAUAAUAAUAACACAAUAAUCAUACCAGCCUACAUUUAUUGAGCACGUGUUAUGUGCCAAGCAUUGCGAUAAGUACUUUCUACACAAUUUAAUCUUCACAGUGAUCUCAGAAAACUGAGAUCAAGUGUAUUAGUUUCCUGGAGGCACCGUAACAAAGUGCCGCUGACGGGGCGGCUUGAACAACAGAAAUUUAUUCCUCACAGUUCUGGAGGCUGGGAGUCCGAGAUAAGGUGUCAGCUGAGUUGGUUUCUUCUGAAGCCUCUCCCCUUGGCUUGCAGAUGCCUGUCUUCUCCCUGUGUCCUCACGUGGUCUUUCCUCUGUGUGUGUCUGUGUCUGAAUCUCCUCUCCUUGUAUAGACACUAAUCCUAUUAGACUAGGGCCUACCCAGAUGACCUCACUUUUUACCUUAAUCACGUCUUUAAAGACCCUGUUUCCAAAUACAGUCACAUUCUGAGGUACUGGGGUUAGGAUUGCGACAUACAAGUUUUGAGGGGACACGGUUCAACCCAUAGAAUCAAGUAAUUAGCAUGUACCCGUAUAGUUAACAGGUGGGAAGCCAGAACUCGACCUGAGUCUGACUUCAGACUCCUGCUAUACCUAUUCCUUAUACUAUUACCCACAAUUGUCUUUAGUUCUUACCUUGAGGAGGAAAAUCGUAAGGUGGAGGAAGAAACUAAGGCUGCAUAGCUUUGCAUUUCGGAUCUGGCUAUCUAUCGCUUGAGGAGCAGGAAUUGAACUCCAGUUACUUGUUCUGCAUCUUUCACCUAUAACUCCAUCAUAGUGAUGUUUCUGGAAGGACAUUGAAAGGUGGCAGGGGUAGCGUAUCUGGAUAGACCCAUAAACAGGAAUGAUAAUAAUGAUCACAAUACUGUAUGAAUGUGUGUGCUUCGCCAUGCAGAAUGCUAAGUGCUUUAUACGCAUUGUUUAAUUCUCACAAUAAUCCUGUGAGGUAGAUACUAUAUGUUUCCUCUUCUACAUACGGGGAAACUGAGGUGAGUGGUGAGUUAACCUGCCCAAAUUCACCUUGCCAUCAAGAAGCGGCAGAGUCAAGCUGAGCACUCAGGAAGUCUGGAUCAGAACCCGUACUCUUAACUAUUAUGCUUCCACACUGCCUCUGGGAACCCGGUGAAGAACGAAUUUAUACCAUUUCCAGAAACAGAAUCCAAGUUAGAGAAGACUCAUAAGGCCAUCAUUUUCCCAAAAGUUUUCAGUUGCAACCAUCAAGAUAUUUAUUGAUAUAUAUCAGAAGAAAAUACUGAUACUACUAUUUCUUGAUUUAUCAAUUUUAGAAAUUGCCUAUUGAUUUGCUGUUAUCUGAGAUAAAAUUGCCUGUCUGUUACUUGCCCUCUACCAUUUCCUGCAAACUCCUAUAAUCAAAGAAUAAUUUUUUAGAUCAAUAUUUAUUAAUCAUUAUGUUUAUAUAAUUAUUAUCCAUUACAAAGCCAAAAAGCAUACUGUGAUUAUAUUUCCUUCCUUGUAUAACUUUUUGUUUUUCCUGGAGUUGAUAAUAUUUUUUCAUUUGUUUUACUUGCAUUAUUUUCUAUGUACCUGUCCUUUUCUUUCCUAUUAGAACUUUCAUGGCCAAUCAGCGGUUUUUCAUACCCACUCAAAUGAAUACACUGCUCCCUCUGGAGCUCUCCUCCUUGAAGCCCUCCUGCUCCAGUAUACACAGGUUUUUCUGUAGCCUUUAGUUAUUCUGGGAGUUCUCUUUGCUUCUCUUUUAGGUUGGAGCCUAUGUUUCCUGGGUUCAGUGUCCUGUUUUACUUUCUCGUUCUGGUGACAUGUUUCCUUCUGUUGCUUUCUAAGAAAGAGUACAUGGGAGAUACAUUUUCUGAGUUCUUUCUUAUCUGAAAAUGUCUUUUUUUCUACCCUUAGUCUGGAUUUGCAGUUUGGCUAUAUAGAAUUCAGGUUGCAAAUUAUUUUCCCUUGAAGGCAUUGUUUCAUUGUCCUCUUAGCUCCCAGGGUCAUUUUUCAGAAACCCAAUACCGUUUUAAAUCCUAUUCCUUUGUAUAUGACUUAUCUGUCUGGACACUUCUAGUCUGUCUCUGUGUCCCCGGUAUGCUGAAACUUGUCAUUGAUCUUUCUUCAUUCAUGUCCUCAUGAAUGAUGACUCAUGUCCUUCAGGUCCAGGAAAUUUUUCUUAAGUUAUUUCUUGGACAAUCUUAUCUUCUGUUUUCUUAUUUGGACAUUUAAUUCAAUUGAUUUCCUAAGUCUUUUAUCUUUAUAUUAUCCCUAUUAGUUUCCAUCAUCUUGCCUUUGUAUUACUUCCAACCUAUUAACUUUUUGUGUUGACUAUCAUUUUAAAUUUUCAAGGGCUUUUUUUAUUUUUCAUAGUCUCCUGUUUUGUUUUGUUUUGCUUUGUUUUGUAACUGAUGGAUGGAAUAUCUUCUCUUAACUCUCUCUCAACUCUCUGGGAAUAAAAUUGCAGUUUUUAUUUGAAGCUUUCGUCCGUUCCUGGCAUUAUCUAUUUCUUCCUAGUUCAGUUUUUUUUUUCCCUUGGUUUUGUCUUGGUUUGCCUUUCGUGAUGGAGGCUUUCCUCAACUGUCUGGUGAUCCCGAGUCAUCACUUCGUAUUUUAGAGUACGGCACAAAAGCUGAUUGGAAACCCUGUGUGCACAGGCAGCGUUUGUCAAGGGGAGGGCUUCACUCUUGAGUUUUUAGUGGGGAUCUUGUUGUUUUCUUAGGGGAAAGCCAAAUGCCACUAUCUAUUGUUUUCUUCCCCUGGGGCAGUUCAGUUUCUUAUGAGAAGAAUCUUCUUAUCUUCUAUCCAGGAGCAAUACAAAUUGCCUGCAUUUUGGGAGCAGAGUUGAGGAAGAGGACUGGAGUUCCUACUGCUCAGGACACACACUUGUGGAGUCUCCUCAUCUCCAGACUUUACCUCACUUCUGCUGGCUACUGUGCCAGUUAUACUGGAACCUAGGGCCUCGCCAGUUCAGAUUCCCCAGGGAUUAAGACUCCAUUUUCCUUCCUGGGUGAGGAGUAACUGCUUGGGUGUGGGGCAGGGGAUGUUUUCAGCCUUGAUUCUCACCCUGGUCCAUCCCCUCAUCAGGGCCUGAAUCUUUCAGAGCUUUGGUGGGACAAAUCAGUUUGCUUCUCAUUCCCCGCCCCCGUCCCCCACCUCCGCCCUUGUUCUGCUAUGAUGACUUCCAUUCCUCCAUGGACUUUCCAUCUUUUAAAAAUGAAUGGAAUAAAUGUCAAUAAGCACAUAAAAAGCUGUUUCAUAUCACUAAUCAUUAGGGAAAUGCAAAUCAAAGUCACAACGAGUUAUUAACUCACCCCUAUUAGGAAGGCUAUUAUCAAAAAGAAAAAAAAACCCAACAACAAGUGUUGAGGUGGAUGUGGAAAAAUUAGAACCUUUGCACAUUUGUUGAUGCGAAUGUAAAAUGCUAUGGAAAACAGUCCAAUGGUUCCUCGAAAAGUUAAACAUAGAAUUACCAUUUGACCCAGCAAUUCCACUUCUGGAUAUA
Equus caballus (horse) is the source of this 7804-nucleotide non-coding RNA. NCBI's taxonomy places the organism in Eukaryota, Metazoa, Chordata, Mammalia, Perissodactyla, Equidae. The record is from RefSeq and is a predicted model, not a curated record.